RNAcentral lists this ribosomal RNA (429 nucleotides) under Pseudomonadota bacterium. RNAcentral's name for it is "Proteobacteria bacterium partial 16S ribosomal RNA". It matches the Rfam family "Bacterial small subunit ribosomal RNA", at positions 355 to 776 of the family's 1533-position model. Lineage: Bacteria; Pseudomonadati; Pseudomonadota. The record is from RNAcentral.
UGGGGAAUAUUGGACAAUGGGCGCAAGCCUGAUCCAGCCAUGCCGCGUGUGUGAAGAAGGUCUUCGGAUUGUAAAGCACUUUAAGUUGGGAGGAAGGGCAGUAAGCGAAUACCUUGCUGUUUUGACGUUACCGACAGAAUAAGCACCGGCUAACUCUGUGCCAGCAGCCGCGGUAAUACAGAGGGUGCAAGCGUUAAUCGGAAUUACUGGGCGUAAAGCGCGCGUAGGUGGUUCGUUAAGUUGAAUGUGAAAGCCCCGGGCUCAACCUGGGAACUGCAUCCAAAACUGGCGAGCUAGAGUAGGGCAGAGGGUGGUGGAAUUUCCUGUGUAGCGGAGAAAUGCGUAGAUAUAGGAAGGAACACCAGUGGCGAAGGCGACCACCUGGGCUCAUACUGACACUGAGGUGCGAAAGCGUGGGGAGCAAACAGG